AUGUGGGAAAAUGCCACUCUGGACACGCCCAAUCUCAUCAGUUCUCAGAUGCUAAACAGAGUUAUGCUUGGUUAUUCCUUCAAUAGGAGACCGCCUAAGACUAUCAGGUACUUUAAGUU
RNAcentral lists this ribosomal RNA (119 nucleotides) under Oryzias melastigma (Indian medaka). Lineage: Eukaryota; Metazoa; Chordata; Actinopteri; Beloniformes; Adrianichthyidae. The record is from RNAcentral.